RNAcentral lists this unclassified non-coding RNA (200 nucleotides) under soil metagenome. RNAcentral describes it as "partial contains internal transcribed spacer 2 and large subunit ribosomal RNA". The record is from RNAcentral.
CUCGAAAUGCAAGUACACAGGACAGGAUCCUAGACCCCCGAGGUGGGAAAAAAAAGCGUAGUAGUUGACUUGACUGUCUUCUUUCGCUGAAAAAGAACACCCGGUUUUUUGGGACCUUGCUGUGCAAAUUCGCAGGAAGAAAAGUAUCAUUCUUUUCACUUCUUGAUCUGAAAUCAGGUAGGACUACCCGCUGAACUUAA